This 702-nucleotide ribosomal RNA is filed under the name Streptomyces sp. Its description in RNAcentral is "bacterial SSU rRNA". It matches the Rfam family "Bacterial small subunit ribosomal RNA", at positions 62 to 779 of the family's 1533-position model. The record is from RNAcentral. Lineage: Bacteria; Bacillati; Actinomycetota; Actinomycetes; Kitasatosporales; Streptomycetaceae.
UCGAACGAUGAACCNGCUUCGGUGGGGGAUUAGUGGCGAACGGGUGAGUAACACGUGGGCAAUCUGCCCUGCACUCUGGGACAAGCCCUGGAAACGGGGUCUAAUACCGGAUAAUACUGCGGACCGCAUGGUCUGCGGUUGAAAGCUCCGGCGGUGCAGGAUGAGCCCGCGGCCUAUCAGCUUGUUGGUGGGGUGAUGGCCUACCAAGGCGACGACGGGUAGCCGGCCUGAGAGGGCGACCGGCCACACUGGGACUGAGACACGGCCCAGACUCCUACGGGAGGCAGCAGUGGGGAAUAUUGCACAAUGGGCGAAAGCCUGAUGCACCGACGCCGCGUGAGGGAUGACGGCCUUCGGGUUGUAAACCUCUUUCAGCAGGGAAGAAGCGAAAGUGACGGUACCUGCAGAAGAAGCGCCGGCUAACUACGUGCCAGCAGCCGCGGUAAUACGUAGGGCGCAAGCGUUGUCCGGAAUUAUUGGGCGUAAAGAGCUCGUAGGCGGCUUGUCGCGUCAGAUGUGAAAGCCCGGGGCUUAACCCCGGGUCUGCAUUCGAUACGGGCAGGCUAAAGUGUGAUAGGGGAGAUCGGAAUUCCUGGUGUAGCGGUGAAAUGCGCAGAUAUCAGGAGGAACACCUGUGGCGAAUGCGGAUCUCUGGGCCAUUACUGACGCUGAUGAGCCAAAGCGUGGGGAGCGAACAGGAUU